Molecule: ribosomal RNA, 522 nt
Filed under: Paucisalibacillus globulus
Lineage: Bacteria; Bacillati; Bacillota; Bacilli; Caryophanales; Bacillaceae
Description: bacterial SSU rRNA
Rfam family: Bacterial small subunit ribosomal RNA
Source: RNAcentral
GGGGAAUUGGCGGCGUGCUAUACAUGCAGUCGAGCGAGUGAAACUAACUGAUUCCUUCGGGAUGACGUUAGUGGAUCUAGCGGCGGACGGGUGAGUAACACGUGGGCAACCUACCUACAAGAUCGGGAUAACUCCGGGAAACCGGGGCUAAUACCGGAUGAUAUUUUUCUUCGCAUGAAGAGAAAAUGAAAGGCGGCGUAAGCUGUCACUUGUAGAUGGGCCCGCGGCGCAUUAGCUAGUUGGUGAGGUAACGGCUCACCAAGGCCACGAUGCGUAGCCGACCUGAGAGGGUGAUCGGCCACACUGGGACUGAGACACGGCCCAGACUCCUACGGGAGGCAGCAGUAGGGAAUCUUCCGCAAUGGACGAAAGUCUGACGGAGCAACGCCGCGUGAGCGAUGAAGGUCUUCGGAUUGUAAAGCUCUGUUGUUAGGGAAGAACAAGUACAAGAGUAACUGCUUGUACCUUGACGGUACCUAACCAGAAAGCCACGGCUAACUACGUGCCAGCAGCCGCGGUAAU